GGCAUGUUUUGCAAAUGGUAGCAUAAAGUGAUGAAGAGGUCUGUUCCAGCAAAGAUAAGGUGGCCCUCCUUGUUUUUGGUACCUGGCUGCUGGGUGGCACAGUGGGUACAAUAUUGGGCCUAGAGUCAAGGAGACCAAAACCGGCCUCAGGGCCUCCCAAACACUGAGCUAAUUCUGGAAAUAUGUGCAUCAAUCUCAUCAUUUAUAUGUACAUCCCUGAAAAGUAUGCUGUCAAGGUAUCCAACAACAGCACUGAAAAAAUCAUGCUAAAAAGCAUGGAAGCAAGUACACAGCCCUACUUCAUUCCAUUGGUGACUAAGAAGACAUGAGAACAUCAUCCAUUAUCUAGAACCCGUGCAAACAUGUGAUAAUGGAAUUGGCAUAAAAUACUGAUGAACUUCUUGGGGCA
Non-coding RNA from Phascolarctos cinereus (koala), 409 nucleotides. The record is from RefSeq and is a predicted model, not a curated record. NCBI's taxonomy places the organism in Eukaryota, Metazoa, Chordata, Mammalia, Diprotodontia, Phascolarctidae.